UUUCUUUUUUUCUUUCUUUUAACUCUUUUUUUUUCCCAAAAAGGGAGAGGGGAGGUGGACGCUGCAGUAAUAUAUU
RNAcentral lists this non-coding RNA (76 nucleotides) under Tetraselmis sp. GSL018. Lineage: Eukaryota; Viridiplantae; Chlorophyta; Chlorodendrophyceae; Chlorodendrales; Chlorodendraceae. The record is from RNAcentral.